GUUUAAUUUGUACACAAGAUUGGUUGCAUGCUUCGCCAUUGCCACUUCAAAUGGAAAAAAACUUUGCAGAUUUGGAGGACAUAGAAAGAGCUGCUGGAAAGUGAUUUGGUCUGCUGGAAAUCCCCUGUUACUGCUGCUGUUGCGCUGCUGCUGCCACUGCACUGUUGUGGUGCUUUUGUUUGUCAUCCUUAAGUUGUGCUGCUGCCAACAUGCCUUUGUUUGUUUAUUUGUUUUUGUCUAAAACUACUUUAUAUCUGUUUGCUUAGAAUUUGUGGAAAAGGGAAAUGUAAUGUCUACUACUAUUGAAUUUGAUUGUUGUUAUCUACUAUUGUUGAUGUGUGUUUGCUUGGAA
Camellia sinensis is the source of this 352-nucleotide non-coding RNA. Lineage: Eukaryota; Viridiplantae; Streptophyta; Magnoliopsida; Ericales; Theaceae. The record is from RefSeq and is a predicted model, not a curated record.